Molecule: ribosomal RNA, 482 nt
Filed under: uncultured bacterium
Lineage: Bacteria
Description: partial 16S ribosomal RNA
Rfam family: Bacterial small subunit ribosomal RNA
Source: RNAcentral
GACGAACGCUGGCGGCGUGCUUAACACAUGCAAGUCGAACGAUGAAGCCCAGCUUGCUGGGUGGAUUAGUGGCGAACGGGUGAGUAACACGUGGGCAACCUGCCCCAAACUCUGGGAUAACUCCUCGAAAGAGGUGCUAAUACCGGAUACGAACUAGACAGACAUCUGUACUAGUUGGAAAGUUUUUCGGUUUGGGAUGGGCCCGCGGCCUAUCAGCUUGUUGGUGAGGUAACGGCUCACCAAGGCUACGACGGGUAACCGGCCUGAGAGGGCGACCGGUCACACUGGGCCUGAGAUACGGCGCAGACUCCUACGGGAGGCAGCAGUGGGGAAUAUUGCGCGAUGGGCUAAAGCCUGACGCAGCGACGCCGCGUGAGGGAUGAAAGUCUUCGGAUCGUAAACCUCUUUCAGUAGGGACGAAGCGAAAGUGACGGUACCUAAAGAAGAAGCACCGGCUAACUACGUGCCAGCAGCCGCGGUAA